RNAcentral lists this non-coding RNA (201 nucleotides) under Rhodella violacea. The record is from RNAcentral. Lineage: Eukaryota; Rhodophyta; Rhodellophyceae; Rhodellales; Rhodellaceae.
GGAAGCUUUGAAGGGCGCAUUGGGUCAGAAGUAAAAGCAAAAGCUUACCGAAAACUAGUCGGCUAAAUAGAGCUCUAUUUUUUUCAAUCCAACUCUGAAUUCGGAUUAAAAAGAAAGAAGCAAAAAAAUUACAAAUAGACGUUAACCAAUUUGGUUAACGUAAAGCUCUCCCGAGAUAUUUUUAAACAAAGCCCCCAGUAA